GACCCACUUCCCGUUACUUUUACAUGUUUCCCCAAAACAGACGUAUUAGCAGAAAAUUUUCUAUCCCUAGCGGAACAGACGAAGCGAGCUCUCCCCCUUUUCCAUUGAAGUUGGACAAUCUCUGCAACCGUUGUAGGAUUUGGUGGGGCAUCAAACAAAUCACGACAAAUCAACAACGAGGGUUAAGUUCUCGGUUUUUCCUUUGGGAACUUGAAAAGUUUUAAAAGUACACUGCAGUCUGUCAACGGUUAUCUCCGUCUCUUUACUGUCUACACUCUUCUCAGAGUUCAGACUCGCCUAUCCUUGCCGAAUAAGCAAGAAUGGAGCAUUCUACGGAGAAAUCCGACGACAGAAGAGAUGGCCACCGGCAACAAGAAGUGGAGGUGUCACCGUCGUUGUCGUGUUUGCUCACUCUGCCGCUUGGGGAAUCGGUUUCGACCUUCAGUCUGGAGAAAGCCGUCUGCAGCCAUGGGCUGUUCAUGAUGGCACCGAACCAGUGGGACCCAUCGACUAAGACCUUCCAACGCCCCUUGCGACUCUCUGAUGAAACCACUGCCAUCCUAGUCCGCAUCUCCCAUCCCCCAAUUCCCCUUCUCUCCAUGUCCGCGUUCUCGGCACCGCUUCCCUCUCUCCCGACGAUCAACGAGUUCUGUUGGCUCAGGUAACCCGAAUGCUGCGAUUAUCGGACAGUGAUGAAAGGAAUAUAAGAGAAUUUCACAAGAUCCACCAUGAAGCCAAGGAAAGGGGUUUUGGCCGAGUUUUUCGAUCCCCGACACAGCGACCUGUGUAGCAGCUGGAUGAUAUCGGGGGGUGUUGAAGCGAUGCAUGAAACGCCAAAAAGCGACCUGUGCUUUUUUGUUCGUUCAACCCGGAAUGAUUUUUGUAAAGGGUAUUUUUGAUAUUUAAAAUUUUUUAAUUUGCAUGUGAGCUUCUAACUAACGGAAAUCUACGUCGGUAUCA
Non-coding RNA from Nelumbo nucifera (sacred lotus), 960 nucleotides. Lineage: Eukaryota; Viridiplantae; Streptophyta; Magnoliopsida; Proteales; Nelumbonaceae. The record is from RefSeq and is a predicted model, not a curated record.